GUGGUUGACGUCAAACACGUCGCGCACUUCGCCCCCUCCCCCUCACGGUUCCAUUUACUCCUCCCCUCAGUUACUCGCACAACCCACCCCGCAGUUCAGUCGAUUGGAGGAGAAGGCGAGAGGAGAAGGCGACGGCGGAGGCGGAAGAGUCGACGGCAUUCGCGGCCAUCGGUGGGACUCGCCGGACCGGAGCGUCUUCGCCGGAGCGCCUACAGAUUGAGGGCGGGUUCGCGAUGCGCCGGCGUUCCCGCCGGCGGCGGAGUCUUGUGCUUGCCGUUUUCGGUGGCAUUGAGCAGUUUCGUCGCCACCGCGGUGGCGGUCACGCCGCAGAAGAAGAAACGUAAUCGCAAUAGGGCUUCACAGGAACGCCUGACUAUAUUGACCGAGGGAUUCACUGACGACCAGAAGGGAGCUGCUGCCGAGUUGGGGAUGCAGGCUCUGAUGGAUGUUCGGUGCAAGAAUCUAGUGAACCCUGUAUGUGUCUGGCUCGGUGAGAUUUACGAGCCCGCCUCCAGGGAAUUUGUGAUUCCGGGAUGUGGAAGACUGUCGUUAGACGAGGAAUCCAUGUUCUGCACGUUGGGUGUGCCCCGUGGACAAAUCAAAGUCCCAUAUGAGGUCAAUAAUACGAUUGAGGAAACGUUGUUUGCCCGUUUGUUUCCUGGGAUGAGAUCCAUGCCGAACACGACCGUGCUGGCAACUUCGCUGGAGGGCAUGAAAACCCAUGGCGAAGUUUUUAAGAUGAAGCUACUCAUGUACCUGAUCUCAGCUGUUUUUGCGCCGACCACAUCUCUUCGCCCAAGCAACAAAUGCUUCCCCAUCCUGGAAAAACUGAAAGAACUGAAGAACAUGAAUUGGUGUAAGUUCAUUGCGGACUUCCUGCAUGAUGCAUUCUCAAACAAGAUGUACCGGAAGGGUUGUCGACUCCAUUUAAUGCUCAUGUAUGUCGACCGUCUUGAUCUGGCCACUGUGGACUUUACUGGGAUAGGAGGCCCACCGCCUCCACACAAGUUUGUUGUUUCUGCGUGGACUUAUGAUGCUGUCAAGGCUGCGCUUGCCGCGGACAAGAUAACUGAUAAGAAAUACGGGAAACUGCAGCUGAUGGCCAAGCAUGCUAUAGACUACAACGUGUUUGGUGGGCCUCAAAACUUUGGAAAGUGGAUGGACGUGCACUCAGCUCUGUCUUGUCCUGUUGAGGCGAGGGCACCUGUUGAGCAUCUAAUUGGGCAGUUUGCAUCCGGAAUGACCAGCUUGCUCGGGAAGUUGGUUGAGGGUUGGACGUCCCUUAAUGGCUCUGACAGCGACGCGGUUGCGAGGCAUUUCACUCCUUUUGUCACAGAACGGACACAUCGGCCAACUGGUUGUCGUGGUCGGUACGACUACAAUAGCUCGCAGGAGCUUCCGGACACACAAGAUGAACUAGAUGGAGAUGCUGCUCUCGACAAGGACGAUGACGAUGACAUGGAGAACGUGCAUCAUGACACCGACGAUGAUGAACAUGUUGAAGUUCGUGCAGGUGGUAAGAAGGGCAAGGGUGCACCAGAUGUCCCCUCACCGGAGAAAGUCAAAGAACAUACAGCUGCGAGAGGCAAGGGGGUGUCGCCCUCAAAGAGGGGGAGGGAUCCAGAGGAUGUUGGGCAGGGCUCUCCUGUCAAGAGACCUAGGACCGAUCCCUUA
RNAcentral lists this ribosomal RNA (1674 nucleotides) under Triticum aestivum (bread wheat). RNAcentral describes it as "partial small subunit ribosomal RNA". Lineage: Eukaryota; Viridiplantae; Streptophyta; Magnoliopsida; Poales; Poaceae. The record is from RNAcentral.